AGUGAACGCUGGCGGUAAGCCUAACACAUGCAAGUCGAACGGCAGCACAGUAAGAGCUUGCUCUUACGGGUGGCGAGUGGCGGACGGGUGAGGAAUACAUCGGAAUCUACUUUUUCGUGGGGGAUAACGUAGGGAAACUUACGCUAAUACCGCAUACGACCUACGGGUGAAAGCAGGGGAUCUUCGGACCUUGCGCGAUUGAAUGAGCCGAUGUCGGAUUAGCUAGUUGGCGGGGUAAAGGCCCACCAAGGCGACGAUCCGUAGCUGGCCUGAGAGGAUGAUCAGCCACACUGGAACUGAGACACGGUCCAGACUCCUACGGGAGGCAGCAGUGGGGAAUAUUGGACAAUGGGCGCAAGCCUGAUCCAGCCAUACCGCGUGGGUGAAGAAGGCCUUCGGGUUGUAAAGCCCUUUUGUUGGGAAAGAAAAGCAGCAGGUUAAUACCCCGCUGUUCUGACGGUACCCAAAGAAUAAGCACCGGCUAACUUCGUG
RNAcentral lists this ribosomal RNA (492 nucleotides) under uncultured bacterium. RNAcentral describes it as "partial 16S ribosomal RNA". It matches the Rfam family "Bacterial small subunit ribosomal RNA", at positions 29 to 507 of the family's 1533-position model. The record is from RNAcentral.